Molecule: long non-coding RNA, 514 nt
Organism: Pristis pectinata (smalltooth sawfish)
Lineage: Eukaryota; Metazoa; Chordata; Chondrichthyes; Rhinopristiformes; Pristidae
Exons: 3
Source: RefSeq, a predicted model, not a curated record
AAUUGAAGGGGAAGUUAGUUGAUGUUGUCCCGAGACUGACAUCAUAGUCCCUGGGACAACUAGGCUGUCACCUGGCAGCAUUGGACUGGAGCUCCUUCAAGGCAGGAUUCCAUGAACAAUGGUUGGACAUAAGAAGACUUCCCAGGACUAUCGAUCAUCUGAAGCACUUUGUGAACUCCCUGCUGACCCAAAAGCGAAGGAUUCUCUGUGACAGACAAAUCAUUAAUUCGACUUCACUCUCCACAGACACCACCUGACCUGCUGCGUGCUUCCAGAACAUCCGGCAUUUAUUGGCCAUGCCAUCUUCUCGCAGCUCGCAGCAGGAGGUACAGAAGCCUGAAGUCCCACACCAGCAGGUUCAAGAACAGCUACAACCAUUCAGCUCUUGAACCAAGCUGCACAACCUCAGUAUAGCAACACUGUUUUGCACUUUACUCCUGCAAUGGAAUGGUCUGGCUGGGUGGCAUGCAAGCAAAGUCUUUUCACUCUAUCUUGGUACAUGUGACAAUAAUAA